Molecule: ribosomal RNA, 681 nt
Filed under: uncultured bacterium
Lineage: Bacteria
Description: bacterial SSU rRNA
Rfam family: Bacterial small subunit ribosomal RNA
Source: RNAcentral
GAGUUUGAUCCUGGCUCGGAAGAAGGCUGGCGACGUGCUUAACAAAUGCCAGUCGAACGAAAUACUCUAUUUGAUUUUCUUCGGAAAUGAAGAUUUUGUGACUGAGUGGCGGACGGGUGAGUAACGCGUGGGUAACCUGCCUCAUACAGGGGGAUAACAGUUGGAAACGACUGCUAAUACCGCAUAAGCGCACGGUAUCGCAUGGUACAGUGUGAAAAACUCCGGUGGUAUGAGAUGGACCCGCGUCUGAUUAUUCAGUUGGUGGGGUAACGGCCUACCAAAGCAUCGAUCAGUAGCCGACCUGAGAGGGUGACCGGCCACGUUGGGACUGAGACCCUGCCCUUACUCCUACGGGAAGUAGCUGUGGGGAAUAUUGCACAAUGGGGGAAACCCUGAUGCAGCGACGCCGCGUGAACUACGAAGUAUUUCGGUAUGUAAAGUUCUAUCAGCAGGGAAGAUAAUGACGGUACCUGACUAAGAAGCACCGGCUAAAUACGUGCCCGCAGCCGUGUAAUACGUAUGGUGCAAGCGUUAUCUGGAUUUACUGGGUGUAAAGGGAGCGCAGGUGGUACGGGAAGUCUGAUGUGAAAACCCUGGGCAUACCCCCGGUUCUGCCUUGGAAACUGUCUUACUAGAGUGCCUGAUGGAAAGUGGAAUUCCAGUGUAGCGGUUGAAAUGCGU